RNAcentral lists this long non-coding RNA (216 nucleotides) under Anas platyrhynchos platyrhynchos (common mallard). RNAcentral describes it as "lncRNA (ENSAPLG00000027247.1)". The record is from RNAcentral. Lineage: Eukaryota; Metazoa; Chordata; Aves; Anseriformes; Anatidae.
GUGCAGGGCCAGCAUACAGAUUUGGGUGAACCCUUGCAAACUCCUCCAUCAUGCCCAAGUAGGCAAGACGAAAACACAGGCUUCUGUCCUCUGUGGAUUCUGUGAUUUGUGAAGCACUGAAAGAGAUCGGAUUUCUGCAGAAAAGGAAUAUCCAAUGGGAAAGAAGUUAAAAUUUUGAAAUACUUCAGUGAUGUGAUCAGUGGACAGUAGUGGGAA